RNAcentral lists this ribosomal RNA (176 nucleotides) under uncultured bacterium. Its description in RNAcentral is "partial 16S ribosomal RNA". It matches the Rfam family "Bacterial small subunit ribosomal RNA", at positions 333 to 526 of the family's 1533-position model. The record is from RNAcentral.
UUACUCCUACGGGAGGCAGCAGUGGGGAAUCUUGCGCAAUGGGCGAAAGCCUGACGCAGCAACGCCGCGUGCGGGAUGAAGGCUCUCGGGUCGUAAACCGCUUUCAGCAGGGAUGAAAAUGACAGUACCUGCAGAAGAAGCCCCGGCUAAAUACGUGCCAGCAGCCGCGGUAAUAA